AACGAACGCUGGCGGCAUGCCUAACACAUGCAAGUCGAACGAGACCUUCGGGUCUAGUGGCGCACGGGUGCGUAACGCGGGGGAACCUGCCCUUAGGUUCGGAAUAACUCGCCGAGAGGGGUGCUAAUACCGGAUAAUGUCUUCGGACCAAAGAUUUAUCGCCUUUGGGUGGGCCCGCGUUGGAUUAGCUAGUUGGUAGGGUAAAAGCCUACCAAGGCGACGAUCCAUAGCUGGUCUGAGAGGAUGAUCAGCCACACUGGGACUGAGACACGGCCCAGACUCCUACGGGAAGCAGCAGUGGGGAAUAUUGGACAACGGGCGAAAGCAUGAUCCAGCAAUGCCGCGUGAGUGAUGAAGGCCUUAGGGUUGUAAAGCGCUUUUACCCGGGAGGAUAAUGACAGUACCGGGAGAAUAAGCUCCGGCUAACUCCGUG
RNAcentral lists this ribosomal RNA (433 nucleotides) under uncultured bacterium. Its description in RNAcentral is "partial 16S ribosomal RNA". It matches the Rfam family "Bacterial small subunit ribosomal RNA", at positions 29 to 507 of the family's 1533-position model. The record is from RNAcentral.